UUUCCGUAGGUGAACCUGCGGAAGGAUCAUUAUUGAAAAAGACUAGACGCCCCGUUUUUUCGUAAAAUGGGUUUAAUACCCACAACCGUGUAUACCUUACCUUUUGUUGCUUUGGCAGGCCGCCUCCGGGCGUUGGCUUCGGCUGACAGCGCCUGCCAGAGGACCCAAACUCUGUGUUUAGUGAUGUCUGAGUAAUAUAUAAUAUUUUAAGACUUUCAACAACGGAUCUCUUGGUUCUG
Molecule: unclassified non-coding RNA, 239 nt
Filed under: plant metagenome
Description: partial contains small subunit ribosomal RNA, internal transcribed spacer 1, and 5.8S ribosomal RNA
Source: RNAcentral